CCUACGGGAGGCAGCAGUGGGGAAUAUUGGACAAUGGGGGGAACCCUGAUCCAGCGACGCCGCGUGAGUGAAGAAGUAUUUCGGUAUGUAAAGCUCUAUCAGCAGGGAAGAAAGAAAUGACGGUACCUGACUACGAAGCCCCGGCUAACUACGUGCCAGCAGCCGCGGUAAUACGUAGGGGGCAAGCGGUAUCCGGAUUUACUGGGUGUAAAGGGAGCGUAGACGGCGAUGCAAGUCUGAAGUGAAAGGCGGGGGCCCAACCCCUGGACUGCUUUGGAAACUGUAUGGCUGGAGUGCAGGAGAGGUAAGUGGAAUUCCUAGUGUAGCGGUGAAAUGCGUAGAUAUUAGGCGGAACACCAGUGGCGAAGGCGGCUUACUGGACUGUAACUGACGUUGAGGCUCGAAAGCGUGGGGAGCAAACAGGAUUAGAUACCCGUGUAGUC
RNAcentral lists this ribosomal RNA (443 nucleotides) under uncultured bacterium. Its description in RNAcentral is "partial 16S ribosomal RNA". It matches the Rfam family "Bacterial small subunit ribosomal RNA", at positions 338 to 795 of the family's 1533-position model. The record is from RNAcentral.